This 68-nucleotide transfer RNA is filed under the name Siren intermedia (lesser siren). RNAcentral's name for it is "tRNA-Phe". It matches the Rfam family "tRNA". Rfam says of the family: Transfer RNA (tRNA) molecules are approximately 80 nucleotides in length. Their secondary structure includes four short double-helical elements and three loops (D, anti-codon, and T loops). Further hydrogen bonds mediate the characteristic L-shaped molecular structure. tRNAs have two regions of fundamental functional importance: the anti-codon, which is responsible for specific mRNA codon recognition, and the 3' end, to which the tRNAs corresponding amino acid is attached (by aminoacyl-tRNA synthetases). tRNAs cope with the degeneracy of the genetic code in two manners: having more than one tRNA (with a specific anti-codon) for a particular amino acid; and 'wobble' base-pairing, i.e. permitting non-standard base-pairing at the 3rd anti-codon position. The record is from RNAcentral. Lineage: Eukaryota; Metazoa; Chordata; Amphibia; Caudata; Sirenidae.
GUUAGUGUAGCUUAAUUAAAGCACGGCACUGAAAAUGCCAAGAUAGAUUUUAGUAAAUCUCACAAACA